Dreissena polymorpha is the source of this 1626-nucleotide long non-coding RNA. RefSeq lists it as uncharacterized. The transcript is spliced from 2 exons. The record is from RefSeq and is a predicted model, not a curated record. NCBI's taxonomy places the organism in Eukaryota, Metazoa, Mollusca, Bivalvia, Myida, Dreissenidae.
AAUAAACCGACGCUACGAAAGGUCACCUAUUAUAUUUUCACCCAUAUUGGUUGUGAUAUUACAACAUGGGUUGGUCGAUAUUUAACCAAACACAUAUGUAUAUAUUAAACGUAGUAAAAAGUGAGUAGGUUGGCAUGUGAGUUUGGUUUGCGGUGACCAUACCGGGCAGUUGGGGUUUACUCUGGGACUACUCCGGCUUACACCACAAGGCCACAGUAAAAGUGAAUGUCUUCCAGUUACAAUUGAAUGUCUGGAACAUGCCGAUUAAAUUCACACCAACUUCCGUGAGUCUGGUGAGUAAUUAGGUAACAGUGUUGGUACCAGGUCCUUAAAUCAUCGACCUUCAGGCGCGGAAGGACCUUACAUAUUUCAAAAUAUACACACAUACAGUGUGUAGGUAGGAACAAUGUUUGUUGGCCUUAUCACAGAGAACAUAGAGGGUAUAAAAAAAAGUAACCGCGCAACAUACAUUCUAUGGCAGAUGAGUAUGUUAUCACGAUCCAAGUGACCGACGUACUUCGAAUGAUCGAAGAUUUAUGAACGACGUCGCAAACGAAGGAAAUAAAUGUCUGUGGAAAGUAAUCUGCUGUUAUUGUUAUAUUUUUUCUUUGCUGAUGAUAUUAUAACUUGUUCACGGACUGUUAAAGAUAGGUCAUACAAGUCUUACGUCACCAUGAAUGAAUGCAACAAUUAAUUUUUUUAUACUGUGGGAAGUCCACAAUGCGUCUGUCAAAUUAGAUCGUGUGAGCUAAGUUUCCGGAACUACUGCAACAGAAAAUUGUCCAAUCCGAUGUGAUAGCAAGUCACCAAUCGAGACGUUAACAGAUGGCAUAGUGUACACUCAUACAAAUUAAAACACUUUAUUGAACUAUGGAAACGUACCGUUAAUAUAAGCUCCAGGUGUUGCCCAUAAUCUUAUUAUUUAAUUAUUUAUGACAACCGAUUUAAGCGAUCAGUAAACAUUCAUUUAAAAUGCUGUGUUUGUCAUUUCCGACCUAGAAUGAAAACCGUUUUAAUACUUAGAAUUGUAUUGUAUAAAUGACUAUAACAUUACCUUUAAAAUUUGAUAAUUAAUGUUUUAUCCAAGUGUUUGAGUCACCUAUGACCAGUUCGUAGAUGGUCUGACCAUAGGCGAUAUAUGACUUUGACAGACAUUUUUUCUACUAUGCGCACUAGUGCUUUAUCUUAGCUUUCAGUAUUUUAUGGUUAAUUUCUUAUGGCAAAUUUUAAGGUGAGGUCAGUGGGGGCAAUCAAAAUUGUAUUAUGUAAUAUAGCCUUUAACUGUUCUGUGCCAUAUGUGAUUUAGUCUCAUAAUUCUAAGAUUGUACAAAGCUGUUUUAACUGAUUUCCGGAUUUAGUGAAGACUAUUUAACUUUAUGGUAUAUGAAUUUGGAAGAGAGGUAACUCUGUAGUUCAUGUUACUCUUGCUGUAAUUUGAAUUCAGGGGUUAGCUCCCUUUCAUUUUACAAUAAUUGUACGACGAGUCUUAUGAUGAUAUAAUAUUCUAGUCUCUUAUAACUCGAUACCAAGUGGCAGCAUUUUAUUAUUAUGCUUAUGUUUUAUUGUAUGUUGUGAUUGUAUAUAUGGUGACGAGACUGUAAUAAACUAAUAAAACUAUAAACUUCA